CCUACAGUUGAUUUCUCGAUGUGCAGUGGAGGGGAUUCCUGGAGGCAUUGAAUCACCAGUUCCAGAUUUAAGGGAGGAAUCCAACUGUACUUUUGGCUCAGGGACACAGGCCGAAGAAAUAGAAGUAGAUAUGUGUUUUGGCAUGGCUGUUGAUGCCUUCGAAAAUGACAGCCAAACUGCCCUAACACCAAACUC
Haliotis rufescens (red abalone) is the source of this 195-nucleotide long non-coding RNA. RefSeq lists it as uncharacterized. NCBI's taxonomy places the organism in Eukaryota, Metazoa, Mollusca, Gastropoda, Lepetellida, Haliotidae. The transcript has 3 exons. The record is from RefSeq and is a predicted model, not a curated record.